This 27-nucleotide non-coding RNA is filed under the name Rattus norvegicus (Norway rat). Lineage: Eukaryota; Metazoa; Chordata; Mammalia; Rodentia; Muridae. The record is from RNAcentral.
UGAAUGACAGACAGCCAUGGCCAGACA